UUAUAUUCUCCACAGGGGGGGAUGAGAACCCCCGACCGGGGUUCGACAACUGGCGCAGCCAGUUGGACAGACCGCGACCACGCAGUAAGCGGGCUGCCCCGCAGGGGCGAGCGAAGCGAGUCAAUCCCCCCCUCACCGCCA
RNAcentral lists this small RNA (141 nucleotides) under Klebsiella pneumoniae. Its description in RNAcentral is "RtT RNA". It matches the Rfam family "RtT RNA". From Rfam's summary of the family: This family represents a bacterial cis-regulatory element known as RtT RNA. The exact function of RtT is unknown although it is thought that it may be involved in changing the cellular response in relation to amino acid starvation. Lineage: Bacteria; Pseudomonadati; Pseudomonadota; Gammaproteobacteria; Enterobacterales; Enterobacteriaceae. The record is from RNAcentral.